CCCUUAGAUGUCCGGGGCUGCACGCGCGCUACACUGAAGGAAUCAGCGUGCUAAAACCAUUGUCGAAAGGCAUUGGUAAACCCAUUAAAAUCCUACGUGAUUGGGAUCGGGAAUUGCAAUUAUUUCCCUUGAACGAGGAAUUCCCAGUAAGUGUGGGUCAUAAGCUCGCGUUGAUUACGUCCCUGCCCUUUGUACACACCGCCCGUCGCUGCCCGGGACUGUGCCGUUUCGAGAAAAGCGGGGACUGCUGCUGUCGGGGCUUUCGGGCCUUGGCUUCGGUGGAAACCGCUUUAAUCGCAGUGGCUUGAACCGGGCAAAAGUCGUAACA
RNAcentral lists this ribosomal RNA (328 nucleotides) under uncultured eukaryote. RNAcentral describes it as "partial 18S ribosomal RNA". It matches the Rfam family "Eukaryotic small subunit ribosomal RNA", at positions 1470 to 1796 of the family's 1831-position model. The record is from RNAcentral.